This is a non-coding RNA of Momordica charantia (bitter melon), 878 nucleotides long. Lineage: Eukaryota; Viridiplantae; Streptophyta; Magnoliopsida; Cucurbitales; Cucurbitaceae. The record is from RefSeq and is a predicted model, not a curated record.
AUCGAUCAAACUAUUGCAGAUAGUUCUUACUAUAGAGAUGACGUUACUCCAACUGUUGUUGAUCUACAAAUCAUUGAAGAAAGAGUUAACACGGGUCCACCAUUGAACAUAGACGAUAGUUUUAUAAAUGACGAAGAGCAGAAUGUUGAAGUAUCUCAUUCUAAAAGUUCAGAGACUUUAGAAUCAAAUGAAUUUGAAAGUGAUUAAGUAUGGCUCGAAACACACAAGGGGAGGUCGACGAUAUAUUCGAGGAAGGGCAACGGGAGGAAGCUUUGGGAGACGACUCCGAAGACAUCCCUUCCAGUAGUGCUACUCAGUCUCGUAAGGGACGGGGAGUAACUCGGUGUGUACAAUUGGACAAGGAGGUGGGAAAAGAUGGGCCUGUCUCUAUUGUAAUGGACGAGUUCUCAUAGAAGCCAAUAUGCAAGAAUGCCACACGCAUGUCAAAUGCCAUAGGAUCCAUUGUUCGAGAGAAUUUCGACCCAGCACUGUACUCCCGUUGGUUGGACGUAUCGAUGGAAGUUAGGGAUGCAGCAAAACAACGCAUAGUGGUACUUUUGGGAGUUACUAUUCUGCAAGGCUUCACGUGUUAGAAGAUUAGAUAGGUGAAACUUUUUUGGAUAGGUGCAACUUUUGUAGACGGGUGCAACUUUUGUAGAGAUGAAGUUUUUGCGUACAGGUGCAACUUUUGUGGAUAGGUGCAACUCUUGUAGAAAUACAGUAUUUGCAUACCGGUGCAACUUUUGUUGUGAUGUAAUAUUUUAUUAUUAUAUCCUCAACGAUUGUAACGUACAUAAAUUAGGGAUACAAAUUUUGUAACAUACAUCCUGAACUCAUAUUAAUUGAUAUUUUGAUAAUGUGAAUUUAAAUAUCAUAAA